Molecule: ribosomal RNA, 525 nt
Filed under: uncultured fungus
Lineage: Eukaryota; Fungi
Description: eukaryotic LSU rRNA
Rfam family: 5.8S ribosomal RNA (bases 182-335)
Source: RNAcentral
AGGGAUCAUUACAGAGUUCAUGCCCUUACGGGUAGAUCUCCCACCAUAUGUGAUCGUUACGUUAGUUUCUUCGGCGGGCCGUCAGGGUUCGGCUCGGCUACCGGCUUCGGCUGGUAAGCGCCCGCCAGAGAACCAUAAACUGUGAAUGUUAGUGUCGUCUGAGUACUAUAUUAAUAGUUAAAACUUUCAACAACGGAUCUCUUGGUUCUGGCAUCGAUGAAGAACGCAGCGAAAUGCGAUAAGUAAUGUGAAUUGCAGAAUUCAGUGAAUCAUCGAAUCUUUGAACGCACAUUGCGCCCCUUGGUAUUCCGGGGGGCAUGCCUGUUCGAGCGUCAUUACAACCCUCAAGCCUAGCUUGGUAUUGGGACUUCGCCUGCUCUGGCGGUCCUUAAAAACAGUGGCGGUGCCGUCGAGGCCCUGAGCGUAGUAAAUAUCCUCGCUAUAGGGACCCGGUGGACGCUGGCCAUUCAACCCUCACUUUCUAAGUUUGACCUCGGAUCAGGUAGGGAUACCCGCUGAACUUAA